This 453-nucleotide ribosomal RNA is filed under the name uncultured Prevotellaceae bacterium. RNAcentral describes it as "partial 16S ribosomal RNA". It matches the Rfam family "Bacterial small subunit ribosomal RNA", at positions 341 to 792 of the family's 1533-position model. The record is from RNAcentral. Lineage: Bacteria; Pseudomonadati; Bacteroidota; Bacteroidia; Bacteroidales; Prevotellaceae.
ACGGAAGGCAGCAGUGAGGAAUAUUGGUCAAUGGGUGAGAGCCUGAACCAGCCAAGUAGCGUGAAGGAUGACUGCCCUACGGGUUGUAAACUUCUUUUAUACGGGAAUAAAAAAGGCCACGCGUGGCCUCUUGCAUGUACCGUAUGAAUAAGCAUCGGCUAAUUCCGUGCCAGCAGCCGCGGUAAUACGGAAGAUGCGAGCGUUAUCCGGAUUUAUUGGGUUUAAAGGGAGCGUAGGCGGGUCUUUAAGUCAGUGGUCAAAGCGUGUGGCUCAACCAUACCACGCCAUUGAUACUGGAGACCUUGAGUGCACAUAAGGAUGGUGGAAUUCGUCGUGUAGCGGUGAAAUGCUUAGAUAUGACGAAGAACUCCGAUUGCGAAGGCAGCUAUCCGGGGUGUAACUGACGCUAAUGCUCGAAAGUGCGGGUAUCAAACAGGAUUAGAUACCCUGGUA